Molecule: unclassified non-coding RNA, 352 nt
Filed under: soil metagenome
Description: partial contains 5.8S ribosomal RNA, internal transcribed spacer 2, and large subunit ribosomal RNA
Rfam family: 5.8S ribosomal RNA (bases 1-120)
Source: RNAcentral
GAUGAAGAACGCAGCGAAAUGCGAUAAGUAAUGUGAAUUGCAGAAUUCAGUGAAUCAUCGAAUCUUUGAACGCACAUUGCGCCCUUUGGUAUUCCAAAGGGCAUGCCUGUUCGAGCGUCAUUUGUACCUUCAAGCUUUGCUUGGUGUUGGGCGUUUUUUGUCUCCCUCUUUCUGGGAGACUCGCCUUAAAACGAUUGGCAGCCGGCCUACUGGUUUCGGAGCGCAGCACAUAUUUUGCGCUUUGUAUCAGGAGAAAAGGACGGUAAUCCAUCAAGACUUCUACAUUUUUAACUUUUGACCUCGGAUCAGGUAGGGAUACCCGCUGAACUUAAGCAUAUCAAUAAGCGGAGGA